CGCGCGGCCGGAGCGUGCUUUCGCCGCCGCCCGGGAGCCGUCCGCUUCAGCCGCCGGCGCGUUCCCACCCUUCCCUCCCCUCGCAACCCCGGGCCCGCACCCGCGUCCCCGCCCCUUCGCACCGGGGGACCCGGUCCGCUUCGGAGCCGCGCGCCGAGCGUUCGGGCAUGCCCCGCUACGAGCUGGCUUUGAUUCUGAAAGCCAUGCAGCGGGGUUGGUACAAUAGGCUUCACUAGACUUAGCUGCAACUCAGAAUUUCUCCUCCAGCACCUGAGUAAAUGCUGAUGGUCUUGUGGAGAGUGGAUUAAGAGUACGAGCUAAGUUCUCAAUCUCAAUUAAGAAGCGGAGGAAAAUUUAACUGUCUCCUUCAGAGUUUAUCACAACCACCACCAUCAAGACAGCAAACCAAAGGACAAAGACUUUGACCUGCUGUGUUACUCUGUAUAGUCCAGUUCACGUAUGGUUUACAGACUUGGCUGGGGUGACUAAUAAGUAAAUAAAAAGUUGGACACGUCUGUCAUUUGGACACUUUGAUUCACAAUUUACCAGAAUGAGGGCUAUACUGGAGCCAACAGACAUUGCCAUAGUGGCCCUGUAUUUUAUCCUGGUCCUGUGCAUUGGUUUUUUUGCCAUGUGGAAAUCUAAUAGAAGCACCGUGAGUGGAUACUUCCUGGCGGGGCGCUCUAUGACCUGGGUAGCAAUUGGUGCCUCUCUGUUUGUGAGCAAUAUUGGGAGUGAGCACUUCAUUGGGCUGGCAGGAUCUGGAGCUGCAAGUGGAUUUGCAGUGGGCGCAUGGGAAUUCAAUGCCUUACUGCUUUUGCAACUUCUGGGAUGGGUUUUCAUCCCAAUUUACAUCCGAUCAGGGGUAUACACCAUGCCUGAAUACUUGUCCAAGCGAUUUGGUGGCCAUAGGAUUCAGGUCUAUUUUGCCGCCUUGUCUCUGAUUCUCUAUGUCUUCACCAAGCUGUCAGUGGAUCUGUAUUCGGGUGCCCUCUUUAUCCAGGAGUCUUUAGGUUGGAACCUUUAUGUGUCUGUCAUCCUGCUCAUUGGCAUGACGGCUUUGCUAACUGUCACUGGAGGCCUGGUUGCAGUGAUCUAUACAGACACUCUGCAGGCUCUGCUCAUGAUCAUUGGGGCGCUCACUCUUAUGAUUAUUAGCAUGAUGGAGAUUGGUGGAUUUGAGGAAGUUAAGAGAAGGUACAUGUUGGCCUCGCCCAAUGUUACCUCCAUUCUGUUGACCUACAACCUUUCCAAUACAAAUUCUUGUAAUGUCUACCCCAAGAAAGAAGCCCUAAAAAUGUUACGGGCUCCAACAGAUGAAGAUGUUCCGUGGCCUGGAUUCAUUCUUGGGCAGACCCCAGCCUCUGUGUGGUACUGGUGUGCUGACCAGGUCAUCGUGCAGAGGGUCCUAGCAGCCAAAAACAUUGCUCAUGCCAAAGGCUCUACCCUCAUGGCUGGCUUCUUGAAGCUUCUGCCAAUGUUUAUCAUAGUUGUUCCAGGAAUGAUUUCCAGGAUACUGUUUGUUGAUGACAUAGCUUGCAUCAACCCGGAGCACUGCAUGCAAGUAUGUGGAAGCAGAGCUGGGUGUUCCAAUAUUGCUUACCCACGCCUGGUGAUGAAGCUGGUUCCCGUAGGCCUUCGUGGCCUGAUGAUGGCAGUGAUGAUUGCAGCUCUGAUGAGUGACUUGGAUUCAAUCUUUAACAGCGCCAGUACCAUAUUCACCCUUGAUGUGUACAAACUCAUCCGCAAGAGUGCAAGCUCCCGGGAGCUAAUGAUUGUGGGCAGGAUAUUUGUGGCCUUUAUGGUGGUGAUCAGCAUAGCAUGGGUGCCAAUCAUUGUGGAAAUGCAAGGAGGUCAGAUGUACCUUUAUAUUCAGGAGGUGGCAGAUUAUCUGACACCUCCAGUGGCGGCCCUGUUCCUUCUGGCAAUUUUUUGGAAGCGCUGCAAUGAGCAAGGAGCUUUCUAUGGUGGAAUGGCUGGCUUUGUUUUUGGAGCUGUCCGGUUGAUUUUGGCCUUUACCUACCGUGCCCCAGAGUGUGACCAACCUGAUAACAGGCCUAGCUUCAUCAAAGAUAUCCAUUAUAUGUAUGUGGCAACAGCAUUGUUUUGGAUCACAGGACUCAUUACUGUAAUCGUUAGUCUUCUCACACCACCUCCCACAAAGGAUCAGAUUCGCACCACCACUUUUUGGUCUAAGAAGAGCCUCGUGACGAAGGAGAGUUGUUCUCAGAAAGAUGAACCGUACGAAAUGCAAGAGAAGAGUAUUCUGCGAUGCAACGAGAACAGCGAGGCCAUCAACCAUGUCAUUCCCAAUGGGAAAUCUGAAGAUAGCAUUAAGGGCCUUCAGCCUGAAGAUGUUAAUCUAUUGGUGACCUGUAGAGAGGAGGCUAACCCAAUGGCUUCCUUGGGUCCUUCAGAGGCAGAAACACCAGUAGAUGCAUAUUCCAAUGGGCAAGCGGCUCUCAUGGGUGAGAAGGAGAGAAAGAAAGAAACGGAUGAUAGAGGCCAGUACUGGAAGUUCAUAGACUGGUUUUGUGGCUUUAAAAGUAAGAGCCUCAGCAAGAGGAGUCUCAGAGACCUGAUGGACGAGGAGGCUGUUUGUUUACAAAUGUUAGAAGAGACUCCACAAGUUAAAGUAAUACUGAAUAUUGGACUUUUUGCUGUGUGUUCGCUUGGAAUUUUCAUGUUUGUUUAUUUCUCCUUAUGAACUUAAGGAUACGAUGAGACACUUAACUUAAAAUACUGGUCUUUGGGGGAAAAAUUAUGUAACUGUCGCAUCUCUCUCAGGCAUUGUUUACGCAGUAGGUUUUAGCCAAACUUUACUUAGCAGAACGCCAUCUAUUUGUAAGACUUUAUUUUCCUAGAGAUGGAUGAAAGUAGAUCCUCAAAUUAAGUGGCACAGAACAGACUUAAUUGUGCAAAAAUGUGGUUUUAAAACAUUACAUACCAAAGUAAGGAGAGACCAAUUGUCAUAGGUCACUUAGAGCAGAAUACAUAUCAAAGAAAGGUAUUUUAAGAAAAUAUAUCAGGACUGCCAAUUCUUGGUAGACUUUAUGCUGAAGAUUGUUUAUUUCUAAUUUGUUUUGUUUUGUUUCUGUAGUCCAUAUUACCUUUUAAAGAAACCUGAAUUUUUAGAAUACUCGGUAAUGCGUUACAUAGUGAAAAUAUAAUGUCCUUGAGUGGUCCUUCUUUUAGGGCAGGUUAGGUUUGCCAGGUUUGUUUUGUUAGUGUAAGUCUGUGGAUGCUGACUGCCAAGAAAAGGAAGGAAUAUUUCCUGUAUGUAUUUUAGUAUCACUUGUAUGUAGAGUGUUGUGGGGGAGGACUUUAUUCCAGCUAUUCCCCCUCUGUUUGUUUCUAUUUUCAUGGAGGUUUAAGUGAAACAUACUCAAAUGACCACCAAGUGUGUCUAUAAAGUUUUGUCAAAAUUGUGUUGUUAAAUAAUUAUGGGGGAUAGUAGAAGGGCCAUUACUUAUGAGUCCCACAUUUAUUGACCAAAUUAAGGUUUCUUUUCAAUAUAGUUUGGGAAUAAGCAGUUCCUAAGCAGUGUUUGACUUAGGCUAAAAUGAUUAAUCAUGCUCUGCCAUUUUUCUAGCUUUUUCUUGUAGUUCGAUGACAUUUUUAUUAGUCAAAAGUUUCCUUCCCAAGUGGAUCGAUUAGGGAUAUAUAUAGUCCAUUAUCUUGAAAAAGUGGCGCUGCUUUUGUGUGCUCGGUUACCCAGCUUAGUGAAGCUCUCAAUAUAUGGAGAAUGAGAUUUCAAGAGGGAAACCUCAACUUUGAGAUCAGAAUGCAUUUUUCUUCCCCAGUUUGAUUUCUUUCUCAA
This is an RNA transcript of Dipodomys spectabilis (banner-tailed kangaroo rat), 3820 nucleotides long. It is a transcript of the gene named sodium/myo-inositol cotransporter-like, with no coding region annotated. Lineage: Eukaryota; Metazoa; Chordata; Mammalia; Rodentia; Heteromyidae. The transcript is spliced from 4 exons. The record is from RefSeq and is a predicted model, not a curated record.